Molecule: long non-coding RNA, 3966 nt
Organism: Asparagus officinalis (garden asparagus)
Lineage: Eukaryota; Viridiplantae; Streptophyta; Magnoliopsida; Asparagales; Asparagaceae
Exons: 7
Source: RefSeq, a predicted model, not a curated record
CAACGUUUCGAACUUGCAAGAAAUACCAAAUUUUGGGGGGAAAAACCCUUAAAAAAAAAUCCUAAACACUAGCGCAUUGCUUUCCAUUUUCUUCAGUCGAUCCCUCGAAUUGGUUAAAGAUGUCAGGGUAUGAUGCUGGCCGAUUUCGAUGGCGACAUCGGCUGCUGCAGCUGCCUAGGGUUUCUAACGAAAGCAGGAAGAGAGAUGGGUUCCCUUCACUGGAGGUCGCGAGUUCUUGAUCGAUGGGUACUUUGAUGGACCCCAUAAGCGUUCUUCUUCUUUUCCUUCGGAAGAUUGCACGAUUUGCUAAGAAAAAUCCAGUUAAAGAGACGACAAUUCUUACCGGAGGCGAGGACUGCAGUGAAGAGGUCUGGGGGUCUCCAAGAACCCCUGUUUUUCCCCCCUGAAUGUUGUUUAGGUUCUACCUAUAAUUGUAAAGCUGCGGAUGCAUGAGUUCUUGGCAUUACAUUAUAUUGUAUGAUACUUGGUAAUUGCCCAUGUAUCGGGGCAGCCUGCAAGAUACUUAUGAAAAGAUAGUAAAACCCACUAUAUAUGCCUGAAGAGCUUGAUCCUGAGCUCAAAGACCUGCUCCAUGAACUUCUUUGUAAAGAUCCAAGGCAGAGGCUGACGUUAGAUUCGGCAGCUGAGCAUCCCUGGGUGGUUCGAAUUGGCAGCUCAAUUCCUCAGGUAACAUGCAGAUGUAAAAGUACUGGCAAAACCGUUGUUAAUUGCACUUUAUAAUAAAUUCUUUUGCCUUGUUGUAAUCCUCCGGUUAGCUAAAGGCUGUUAGUGGUCUCUGUUGAGGGCUUUGGCAUAUAAUGAUGGUAACAGAGAAAGGGAGUUUUUUUAGGGGGUUUAAGCUAAAAUCCCAACUUCGGUGGCGACCAGCGCCUUAUAUUGAUUAUUAAUGUUGUUACUGUCAUUAGUAGUUGCAGGUAUGUGUACAUGUGGAUCUAUGUGCAUGUUUCUUGCUAUGGGAGUGUGCGUAUCUUGAGAACUCAUUUGACAUAGUUUGGAUUUGGAAAUUAUUAUUAUUUUCGUUGAAGCAACAAAGUGACGCAACUUGUGUGUACGCAUUUCAGUUACUUGAUUUUUGAAGCUGAAUUCAGUUUGCAUUAGUUUUGUAUUAUAUGUACAAGUAUCGGUCACGAAUUGUCAGUAAAAUGUGCUGCUGAAAGAUAAACGUUGGUGAGAUCUAUCCAUGUGAUUUGACUAGUGUCAUUAGCCACUCGCUAAUUAAUCUCCUGGUAGUUCAUUUCAUUUACCAAAAUGAGGUGUUGCCACUUUUUUCCCCCUCCUUCCAUGUGUAUGUAUGGAAGUUUUUGCUACUUGAUACUCAUUUACAACCAAUUCAUAGAUUUCUGCACACGUAGGAUAUUUCAUGUAUAUACUCAUUAAAUUUGGUUGUUUUUGACCAAAAUACAAAGUUAUCCCCAUACGAUGUUUUAUGGGUGUCAUCGAAAUUUUUGGAUUUCUGUGGAUUAUAACCUGUGAAUUUAAUUGUUUUUGAACAAAUCACAAACUAUCAUCCCACGUGAAAUAUUUUAUACAUCCUCCUGCCGAAGUUUCUAAUUUCAACAGAUGAUGACUAAUUAUAUUAUCUAUUUUUUAUCAAUUAACAAAAAGCCAUUAAUGUAGUGUAUUUUAUGUGUACUAAUUUUUUUUUGAUUUGUUGUGGAUUAUAAUGCAUGAUUUAGGUUGUUUUUUCACUAAAACUACAAGUAAUAGUCCCUUAGGCUGCGUUUGGCAAGAGGAUAAAUGAGGGGUUAAGUGAGUUUAACCCCUUAUUAGCCUGCCAAACAGGAAAAAAAGAAGAAGGGUUAACAAACCCGCACGUGAGUGUUUUAUCCCAUUUAACCCGUCACAACACGGGAUAACUAUUCCUCGUGAGAAGGCGGAACAAGGCUUGUUCCGCCUUCUCACGGGAGGGUAGACGAAGGAAUUAUGAGGGGAGUUAUUUCAUGGGAGUUAUUUCAUCUGGAUCUCGUGAGGGAAAUUUUCCACUUCUUUCCUUCUAAAAUUUCCCCGCUAAAAUUUUCCCCCAUUCACUAGCUUACAACCUCCAGAACCUCCACGCCGAGCUCACCUUCGAUGUCUGCGGGGACCUCGACGACCUUACCCAAUCUCCGGCCAGAGAAACCCCGCUGCUUGGCUCCCCCUGCAAAGACAAAGGUCUCUUCACUUGCUUAGAUCAAUUUCAUGAUUAGUUUGUCGACUCAUAGCGGUAAGCUCCUUCUCCUUUCUCGUUUCAUUCUAGGUUUUCGAUUAUGAAUUUCAUGCUAGAGUUUGAUUCUCUUUGCCCUUUUCUCACCAUGGUAAAAAAAAUUAAAUCUUAUUUGUCAUCAAGUCGAUAACUACUAUUUUUGCAUGAAUUCGAUUUGGAUCUGAAAAUUAUGUAUUCAUUCUAGAGAUUAGUUCUUUUGAUUUUUCUUUUUAUGAUUUUGGUGAUCUGGAUUUAUUCCCUUUAAAGAUUGCCAAUAUAUUAUCAAUUGUUGGUGAGCGUAUUGGAAUUUGAGAGGGUUGGAGGUAUAAUUAGAAAAUCUUAUUUCUUGUUAGUAUGAGACUUUUAAUUAGAAGUACUAUCUUAUUUGAUAUGCCAAUUGCUUGACUACUUUAUUGAGAGAAAGAUGAAUAAAAAUUGCUUGCAUUGGAAAUAUAUAUUUAAAGAUAUUACUAGUUUCAUUUUCUUUGAAAUUUAAGUUUGUGGUUCUUCUUCUUAUCUUUAUGCUAUUGAUUUUAUUCAUUACUCGUCUUAUUAAGCUUCAAUGCUCUUCCAUCAUUUGUUUUUUUCCUUAGGCAUGUAGGUCUAUGUAGGCAUAGUAAGUUUGGCUACUCUCUCACUCAUUGUAUAGAAUCUUCAAGUUUAGUUGGCGUUCCAAAGGUGUUUGUUAUAAUUUCUCACUAAGAACUUGGACCAAAAUUACCUCAUUUGAUAAUUUCAUAGUUUUGCUUAAUUAUAUUGAUGCUUGUGCUUUUAGAAUUUAUAUAUCACAUAUAUAAGACUAAGUUUAAUGUUGGCUGUCAACUUAUGAAGUUAAAUUAAGAUUAUAUAGAUAUUUUUCAGAGAUUACAAUAAUGAACAAUUACACCACUUUUUUCCUUAGUAGAAAACAUUUUAGAAACUUAUGAAGUUUAUCAUGUUCUGCCCAACUAAGCUAUAUACAUAUUGUUUUCAUUUUUCGUCCAUAACUUAGAACAGGAGAUUACUGUAGCAUUGAAUUUUUUUUAUUUUCAAGUAUUGAAAAGAAUGUGUUGUGAUUAUUAUAAGCUUAAUUAAAAGCGGAACUCUUAAUCUAGUACAAAAAAUUUAGGAAAGGAAAAAAGGAUUUUUGCAAUGUAGUCCAUCUACAAAUGAUAAUGACUUUUCAUAUAGUUCAUAAAAAUCAACUUUCAUGCCUUUUUUAAUGACAUCUUUAUUUUCCUUUAUAUUUUCACUUAUUAUCUUGUGGGAUUGUAGGACGUUGUAAUCUUUGAAUUUUAAAGUAAUUAGGUGAAAGUUCUUUUGAAUAUAUAUGUGUGUAGUCAUGUCUUAAUGCAUAGCCUUGCUUAAUGCCUUUUUCUAUACAUGUAGGUGUAGGCUGUCUAAAAAUCAUUACAGAUAGAUGAUCCUCAUCAAACAUCAAUGAUGGAAGUUAUAACCUGACGACUUCCAUAUCAACAGAUGAAGUUUCAUUGCAAGAUCAACUUGAACUUUUGCAACAGUUUGGGCUGGACCUGCUUCCUGUUUUAACACAGAUAUAUGGCUCCAGCGUCAAUGGUCCAGUUCGCUAUAAAUGUCUAUCUGUAAUUGGAAAGCUUAUGUAUUUCAGCUUAGCUGCUUUCUAGCAGGUGUUCUGGCAUGGAAAGAUCCUCAUGUUUUGAUCCUUGCUCUUCAGAUAGCUGAAAUUUUUAUGGAGAAGCUUCCAGGAACAUUUUCCAAGAUUUUUGUUAGGGAAGGAGUUGUUCAUGCUGCAGAUGCAUUAAUAU